This 593-nucleotide ribosomal RNA is filed under the name Hepatozoon sp. Its description in RNAcentral is "bacterial SSU rRNA". It matches the Rfam family "Eukaryotic small subunit ribosomal RNA", at positions 327 to 913 of the family's 1831-position model. Lineage: Eukaryota; Apicomplexa; Hepatozoidae. The record is from RNAcentral.
GGUAUGGUAUUGGCUUACCGUGGCAGUGACGGUUAACGGGGGAUUAGGGUUCGAUUCCGGAGAGGGAGCCUGAGAAACGGCUACCACAUCUAAGGAAGGCAGCAGGCGCGCAAAUUACCCAAUUCUAACAGCAUAAGAGAGGUAGUGACAAGAAAUAACAAUACAAGGCAUUUAAAAUGCUUUGUAAUUGGAAUGAUAGAAAUUUAAACACUUUUUAAAGUAUCAAUUGGAGGGCAAGUCUGGUGCCAGCAGCCGCGGUAAUUCCAGCUCCAAUAGCGUAUAUUAAAAUUGUUGCAGUUAAAAAGCUCGUAGUUGAAUUUCUGUUAAAAAUAACCGGUCUGCUUUUAACAAAAGUGGUAUCUUGGUGUGUUUUUAGCAAUAAUGUCCUUUGAAAUGUGUUUUACUUUGUUGUAAAAGACAAUAUUCAGGAUUUUUACUUUGAGAAAAUUAGAGUGUUUCUAGCAAGCUAAUGUUUUGAAUACUGCAGCAUGGAAUAAUAAAAUAGAAUUUUAGUUCUACAUUGUUGGUUUUAAGAGCUGAAUUAAUGAUUGAUAGGGACAGUUGGGGGCAUUUGUAUUUAACUGUCAGAGGUG